UUUCGGUACAACACCUGAAGUAAUGUAUUUACAUAUCGCCAAGAACCGCCGCAGUAUAAUAGUCUAUAUUUUCGGGACAUUUAUAAAAAAAAAGUGAGAAAUAUGGAGAAUAAUCAUGGGACAAUGGCGGGCUGCUACUAACUUUAAAUUCCUGCAAAAAAAACACGGAGCGGUCUGACACACUCCCCUUGACAACAGUUGCGGGGAUAUAUCCACACAGUGGUCUUCUCCUGGAGAUGAGCAAUGCCGGCGUGACUGCAGUUGCGGCAGGUGUGGCGAUCAGCAGCCAAGACUUCCAGUGCGGAAGGCUGGACAUCCGCCCCACAUGUGGCAAACCAUGCGGGUCGCGAAUUGGCCUGCACAGCCACAUGCAAUGGCAUAUACGAAACCCCCCUCAAUAACCCAUUACUGGAGUAACGUCAUCAUCGUAACCGAUGGACAGCCAUAAGUAAGCAAUUUGUGAAGAUGUGCAGCAAGACUAGACAGAGCGAGAGAGGCUGACAGGAUGAUCCCUGUGGUGUUCCAGAGAGACAAACUGGAAGAUGUCUGCAAAGAUUACCCGCCUGCCAUACAAAGACUACACUGUGAUGGACCCAAGAGGAACUGCCGUUAUGUACGCACAAGGUCAUUUGAUGCGCUGCCACAAGACUUUACUGUUACGUAAACUCAUAGUGGAGGACAGUCAUAGUUACGUUAUCAGUCACAUCCUAGCAUAUGACUCAACUGAAGACCUUAGUGACCUCAGGUUAAAGGCAUAUGCAGGACAUUUACCUACUUGAAUUAUUGUUUUUUAGGAAGGCGUGAUACUUUAAACAUUUCACGGCCUCACAUUUAAAGCAUGACUUCACUUUUUUAUUUAAAUAAGUU
Molecule: long non-coding RNA, 867 nt
Organism: Entelurus aequoreus (snake pipefish)
Lineage: Eukaryota; Metazoa; Chordata; Actinopteri; Syngnathiformes; Syngnathidae
Exons: 3
Source: RefSeq, a predicted model, not a curated record